RNAcentral lists this ribosomal RNA (265 nucleotides) under Salmonella enterica subsp. enterica serovar Poona. Its description in RNAcentral is "partial 23S ribosomal RNA". It matches the Rfam family "Bacterial large subunit ribosomal RNA", at positions 1261 to 1530 of the family's 2925-position model. The record is from RNAcentral. Lineage: Bacteria; Pseudomonadati; Pseudomonadota; Gammaproteobacteria; Enterobacterales; Enterobacteriaceae.
CUGUGAGGGUUGCUGGAGGUAUCAGAAGUGCGAAUGCUGACAUAAGUAACGAUAAAGCGGGUGAAAAGCCCGCUCGCCGGAAGACCAAGGGUUCCUGUCCAACGUUAAUCGGGGCAGGGUGAGUCGACCCCUAAGGCGAGGCCGAAAGGCGUAGUCGAUGGGAAACGGGUUAAUAUUCCCGUACUUGGUGUUACUGCGAAGGGGGGACGGAGAAGGCUAUGUUGGCCGGGCGACGGUUGUCCCGGUUUAAGCGUGUAGGUGUGUG